UACAGAGGCCCCAAGCAUUAUCCGGAAUCACUGGGCGUAAAGGGUGUCGAGGCGGUCGUAUUAGUCGUUCGUAAAACCUACGGGCUCAACCUGUAGUUCGCGAGCGAAACGGUACGACUCGAGGUCAGGAGAGGUGCGUGGAACUCACGGUGUAGGGGUGAAAUCCGUUGAUAUCGUGGGGAACACCAAAGGCGAAGGCAGCGCACUGGCCUGAAUCUGACGCUCACACACGAAAGCCAGGGGAGCGAACGGG
RNAcentral lists this ribosomal RNA (253 nucleotides) under uncultured bacterium. Its description in RNAcentral is "partial 16S ribosomal RNA". It matches the Rfam family "Bacterial small subunit ribosomal RNA", at positions 524 to 776 of the family's 1533-position model. The record is from RNAcentral.